UACGUAGGUGGCAAGCGUUGUCCGGAUUUACUGGGCGUAAAGGAUGCGUAGGCGGAUGUUUAAGUGAGAUGUGAAAUACCCGAGCUCAACUUGGGUGCUGCAUUUCAAACUGGAUAUCUAGAGUGCAGGAGAGGAAAGCGGAAUUCCUAGUGUAGCGGUGAAAUGCGUAGAGAUCAUGAGGAAGACCAGUGGCGAAGGCGGGUCUCUGGACAGUUCCUGACACUGAGACACGAAGGCCAGGGGAGCAAACGGG
This 253-nucleotide ribosomal RNA is filed under the name uncultured bacterium. RNAcentral describes it as "partial 16S ribosomal RNA". It matches the Rfam family "Bacterial small subunit ribosomal RNA", at positions 524 to 776 of the family's 1533-position model. The record is from RNAcentral.